This 250-nucleotide ribosomal RNA is filed under the name uncultured prokaryote. RNAcentral describes it as "partial 16S rRNA". It matches the Rfam family "Bacterial small subunit ribosomal RNA", at positions 525 to 775 of the family's 1533-position model. The record is from RNAcentral.
ACGUAGGUAGCGAGCGUUGUCCGGAAUUACUGGGUGUAAAGGGAGCGUAGGCGGGAAGGCAAGUUGAAUGUUUAAACUAUGGGCUUAACCCAUAGUCGCGUUCAAAACUGUUUUUCUUGAGUGAAGUAGAGGCAGGCGGAAUUCCUAGUGUAGCGGUGAAAUGCGUAGAUAUUAGGAGGAACACCAGUGGCGAAGGCGGCCUGCUGGGCUUUAACUGACGCUGAGGCUCGAAAGCGUGGGUAGCAAACAG